AAAGCGAAGCAGUGAUGUGGAGCGAAACUCAAAAAAAUAAGUCUCAGUUCGGAUUGAAGGCUGAAAUUCGCCUUCAUGAAGCCGGAAUUGCUAGUAAUGGCAGGUCAGCAUACUGCCGUGAAUACGUUCCCGGGCCUUGUACACACCGCCCGUCACACCAUGAGAGUUGGGAAUACCCGAAGCCUGUGAGCUAACUUUUAGAGGCAGCAGUCGAAGGUAGAAUCAAUGAUUGGGGUGAAGUCGUAACAAGGUACC
Molecule: ribosomal RNA, 255 nt
Filed under: uncultured bacterium
Lineage: Bacteria
Description: partial 16S ribosomal RNA
Rfam family: Bacterial small subunit ribosomal RNA
Source: RNAcentral